CAUCGAGCUUUCCAAAGACUCAUUUUCCAGCCAAUAUCAUACGCUUCGAUUACAUCCGUUAAGCUAUCGCCUCGAAUUUAACAUUCGCCGAACGUAUUGUGUCUGGAAUCUUGUAACGCAACAUCGCUCGCGAAGCGCUAUUUUACGAAGAAACUCGUUUGCUAGAGAACACGUAAUAGAACGACGAACGAUACAGAUAUCGCGGUGUCGGUUCGCCGGUGGACAAAGAACCGAGACAGAAAAAUCUCUGAAAAAUAUUUCGGUUAUCCGUCACAUAGGUGAGAGGUACGCCGAUCGUGACUCGAAUCGUGCCACGGAACCAACGAAUCAAU
RNAcentral lists this unclassified non-coding RNA (332 nucleotides) under Bombus terrestris (buff-tailed bumblebee). Its description in RNAcentral is "misc RNA ENSBTSG00005035311.1". Lineage: Eukaryota; Metazoa; Arthropoda; Insecta; Hymenoptera; Apidae. The record is from RNAcentral.